UGCGUUUUGGGGCUACAUGUGUGUGACCUUUGAGAUCUCAUUUCAGACUCAACUCUCCUCCAAUGCUCUCUCUCGUAUGCGAUUUCCGGCGAGAGCUCCGCCGCAUCAUCACCACCAAGCCAUCGUCAGAACACCCUGGAACCAAAACUUCCCCAUAUAAAACCCGCAUAGAACUACUCUCUGAACCUAAAUCCAUCCUCAAUUUCCCCUAUGAACAAGCCUAACGCAUGGAUCGGAAGCAACCGGUGAAAAACCCUAACUUCCCCAAACCCGAAAUCGAACAUAAAUUGAACCUAAAUUCCUUCAAUUAUUGUUACAUGAAGCUCAAACAACACCGUAAACAAAGAAGAUUAAAGAGGUUUUAGGCUUACCGACCGGAGCAGUUUCGGUGACUCUUCAACGCCGAUGACGGUAACGGAAGACCAGUAGCUCGACGCGAAAUAAACGCGGAGUCUUGAAGAAGAAACUUAGCUUUAAGCAAAUACGAAGACGGCGACGACGAACCCUAGGUCUGCGGUUUGAAUGCUGCGAGGAUACCUUUUUGUUCACGGCGAGACUUUUGGCUUGGUGCAAUAGCAGUUUUGGUAUAGCAGGGCUGUUUGGUAUGAUGCAAGUGGUAAGUUUGAACACAGCAUGACUAAUGUUUGUUUGUUUGAAACGGUUCACGAAUGUAGUAAUGUAUGCAGUGGCUGGUUGUUUUUGUAUAAUAUAUGCAGUGGCUGGUUGUUUUUGUACGAUGCAGGACCGGUACAUGGUUUAAUGGGAAGCGAGGGUUUGUAUGCUUUUGAAAAUGGCGGGUAAGAAUUUGAUGGCAGGGUUGAUUCUAGUGCAUGGUUUUAACAAUGGUGUGUGUUAAUGUGUGUAUGUAUUUGGUUUUGUAGGCUUGUACUGUGUGAUGGUUAAUUAACUUAGUUAAAGGGCUUUUAUAUGAACAUGUGUGGCAGUGUCUUAGUUUGGAAUGGUGUGAGUUUGGUUUAGCAUUGUGUUUGGUUUGGCAAGGGUUAAGGGGAUCUGAACUGAGUUAUGGUUGAGUAUGUUAGGAAUAAGAUAGGUUAGUUUGUAGUAUGGUGAUGAGUCAAAUUGGAUGAGUUUGAUUUGGUAUAUAUGAAAUGUUGAACUGAUGUGGCGCUAUGUGCAGGGCAGCGGAAUAGUAUGGACUGUAAUUUGAUGGGGCCAUAUGUCACAGAGUGAUAUGUAUGUGUGCAGAGUGAUAUGUAUGUGUGUAUGCUGUAGGGGUGACCUCAAACAAAUGUGUGAUGGAGCAAGGUACGGCUGCUGCAGGUUGAUGCUAGUUAAUAGUUGCUGUUAUGGGUAGCUUAGCCUGUAUGAUACAUAUGUGAGGAUGUGUUGGUUUUGAACAUGGCUUGAAGGGUUUAAUGGUGAGCUUUGUAUUUAUUGAAAUGUGGUUUAGAAAAAAAGGAUCUGUUAGAGAUUUGCUGUGUUGCUUUUCAAAACGGUAUUUUGGAUUUUCUGUAUUUUCCUUGACUUAGCUUUGCUGUUUCCGCAGGUUUUGGGACCGACGAGUUGUGCGUCGUAACCGCUUCUAAUGGCAAUGCCUGAGGCGGAUGAGUCUGUAUGUAGAUGGAGUCCUCGAGUGAGGUUGUUUAUCCGUGAAUAACAAGUCAAGCCAGAAGCACCAAUUGGGAUUUGAAACCAAGAGCCAAAUGAUAUUAUAGCUCUUUUUCGGCAUUAAUCUCCCUUCUGUAAUUUUAUACUUAGGACCACUACUCUUUCCUUGUGCGUUAACUCUCAGCUAGCGACCUUGUAAAUUGAUCAAAAGUGAAAAUAUUUGUCUUGAUGCCACUUCGAAUGUAACCGUUUGUUUGAAUUUGCAAUAUUCUAUCACAAGCACUUCAAAA
Molecule: long non-coding RNA, 1859 nt
Organism: Vicia villosa (hairy vetch)
Lineage: Eukaryota; Viridiplantae; Streptophyta; Magnoliopsida; Fabales; Fabaceae
Exons: 3
Source: RefSeq, a predicted model, not a curated record